This 482-nucleotide ribosomal RNA is filed under the name uncultured bacterium. RNAcentral's name for it is "partial 16S ribosomal RNA". It matches the Rfam family "Bacterial small subunit ribosomal RNA", at positions 28 to 507 of the family's 1533-position model. The record is from RNAcentral.
GAUGAACGCUAGCGGCAGGCCUAAUACAUGCAAGUCGGACGGGAUUCAGGAGCUUGCUUCUGCUGAGAGUGGCGCACGGGUGCGUAACACGUAUGUAACCUACCUUUAUCAGGGGGAUAGCCUCUCGAAAGAGAGAUUAAGCCCGCAUAAAAUCACAGCACAGCAUUGUGUAAUGAUCAAAUAUUUAUAGGAUAAAGAUGGGCAUGCGCAACAUCAGCUAGAUGGCGGGGUAACGGCCCACCAUGGCGACGAUGCUUAGGGGAGCUGAGAGGAUGGCCCCCCACACUGGUACUGAGACACGGACCAGACUCCUACGGGAGGCAGCAGUAAGGAAGAUUAGGCGAGGAGCGGAAGCCUGAACCAGCCAUGCCGCGUGAAGGAAGACUGCCCUACGGGUUGUAAACUGUUUUUAUACGGGAAUAAAACCAGAAACGUGUAUCUGGCUGAAGGUACUGUAAGAAUAAGGAUCGGCUAACUCCGUG